This 253-nucleotide ribosomal RNA is filed under the name uncultured bacterium. Its description in RNAcentral is "partial 16S ribosomal RNA". It matches the Rfam family "Bacterial small subunit ribosomal RNA", at positions 524 to 776 of the family's 1533-position model. The record is from RNAcentral.
UACGGAGGGUGCAAGCGUUAAUCGGAUUUAUUGGGCGUAAAGGGCGCGUAGGCGGGAUUGCAAGUCAGAUGUGAAAUCCUGGAGCUUAACUCCAGAACAGCAUCUGAAACUACAAUUCUAGAGGAUAGACGGGGAAAACGGAAUUCCACAAGUAGCGGUGAAAUGCGUAGAUAUGUGGAAGAACACCGGUGGCGAAGGCGGUUUUCUAGUUUAUUCCUGACGCUAAAGCGCGAAAGCUAGGGGAGCAAACAGG